Molecule: unclassified non-coding RNA, 200 nt
Filed under: Collophora sp.
Lineage: Eukaryota; Fungi; Ascomycota; Leotiomycetes
Description: partial internal transcribed spacer 2
Source: RNAcentral
UUAAGUUCAGCGGGUAUCCCUACCUGAUCCGAGGUCAACCUUUGAUAUGUUUGGGGGUUGUUGGCAAGCACGCACCCGGAACUCCUGAGCGAGAAGAAUUACUACGCUUGAAGCCGAAUGGCACCGCCACUGAUUUUAAGGCGCGCCAGAGCUGGCGGACGCCCAAUACCAAGCAGAGCUUGAGGGUUGUAAUGACGCUC